Leopardus geoffroyi (Geoffroy's cat) is the source of this 161-nucleotide long non-coding RNA. RefSeq lists it as uncharacterized. The transcript is spliced from 4 exons. The record is from RefSeq and is a predicted model, not a curated record. NCBI's taxonomy places the organism in Eukaryota, Metazoa, Chordata, Mammalia, Carnivora, Felidae.
AUGCUUCUGAGCUGAAGGGGCUAGGGACUGAUGGGGACUCUUUCAUUGAGAUCAUCUGCUCAAGGACCAACCAGGAGCUUCAAGAAAUUAACAGAAUCUACAAGGAAAUGUACAAGACUGAUCUGGAGGACAUCUGAAGAGUGUCAUGUAGGGAGAGAGUG